GAUCUAGAAAUAGCCAUUGUUAAAAAAAUUAAAAAAAAAUCCCAAUAUGUCUAGGCUUUCAUUGUCUAGGAUAUCCUUGCACCAAGAUACACUGUUAGGCUACAAAUUUAUGCUGGUGCAAUGCAUGCAGUAGCCCAAAUUUCAGAGGAGACUAGAGUUUGUGGCCAGACAUAGAAAUUACACUUUCCCCAUCUCUUCCUCUGCCAACUCUUUGGUCUCGUGGCUGCAUUCAAAAAAUUACCUCUAUCCGGGAUGGUCAUUGUGAGUACUACAGGCACUGAGGUCCUCUUCUGUGACACCUCUGCCCAUGUCCCUGAGGGCCUGGAACUGGGCUGAUUGUUCUCCAAAUCGCUGCGUCUUUCUGAAAGGCUUUAGUGUCUCAAAAAUUCCCUGUUGCUGACCUUCUCAGAUCUCUCAGCUGGCAGUUUUCCACAACGCCAUCAAGCUGGAUGCUGUAACCUUUUAAAAAACAUUGUUAACGAGCCUGACCCGCUGACCAGUGGAUCAGUGGUCUCCAAAAUGCGUGGCCAGCUGGCAUUAGGGGGUUUCUCAACCCCGUGGUAUGAGGAAGGACAAGGUGUUCCUGGAGCUGGCUGCUUGCUUGUGAGUCGCUGCUUAAAAAUAAUACUUCUGUAACAUUUAUAAAGUUUGUGUGAUUGUACUGCUGAGGAAAGCUUUCCAUGAACGGGGAAGCCAAUGCCAAAAAUGGUGUAAGCAAGCAAUAGAGUCGAAUCAUGUGAGAAAAAAUUAAAUUUUCAUGUAUCAUAAAUGAAAUAUACAUUAGGGACUCUCCAGUGACCUCCAGAUUCUGUAAGUUUUGGAUUGGAGCUAAAGACUUAAAUCAUGUAGCCACAAUGGCCUGUAACACAUAUAUGGAGGGUAAUGCCUUGCUAUGGGCCUGCAACAGUAAACAAAUGGAACUAGUUUUGGAGAACUGCUAUUGACAGUAAAAUUCUAAUUUUGCUCCAGCUCCCAGAACAGAUGUACCUCGGAGUCCAUAGACUGCAAUACUUAACUGCAGCUACUCAGCUGUGACCUUCAGCCUCAGGCUCACUGCAAUAAAAUUUUCAUGCAACCAUAUGGAAGAAUAUUU
This 1093-nucleotide long non-coding RNA is filed under the name Phasianus colchicus (ring-necked pheasant). RNAcentral's name for it is "lncRNA (ENSPCLG00000011567.1)". The record is from RNAcentral. Lineage: Eukaryota; Metazoa; Chordata; Aves; Galliformes; Phasianidae.